ACAAUGAAAUAAUCAUCACCGACUUUGUUAAUUUCAUCGUUGUCUUUCUUCUCCUCUGCUGGCUGACCCUUCUUCUUUUGUAACUUAGGACAGAACUUCUUUGUAUGUCCUUUCUCAUGAUAGUAGUAGCACUCAAUAUUUGCAAAUCUAGCAGACUUGUUUCCGCUCCUACUUUUGCCUCCCUUUGAAAGACCUCGACUUUUGCUCCUCCCCCUGAACUCAGUGACUAAGACCUCUGAUUGUGAAGAUGAUGAACCUUGACUCUUUCUCCUCAUCUCCUCGUUCAGAACANN
Molecule: long non-coding RNA, 293 nt
Filed under: Nicotiana benthamiana
Lineage: Eukaryota; Viridiplantae; Streptophyta; Magnoliopsida; Solanales; Solanaceae
Description: long non-coding RNA (NBEN_LNC009099)
Source: RNAcentral